RNAcentral lists this long non-coding RNA (1351 nucleotides) under Marmota monax (woodchuck). Lineage: Eukaryota; Metazoa; Chordata; Mammalia; Rodentia; Sciuridae. The record is from RNAcentral.
CUGCAGAAAAAUAAAAAGUUAAAAUAAUGAAAAAGUCCACUCCUGACUAUAUUGUCAAAAUAAUUGGAAUCAGGAUAUCAAAGAGAUAUUUGCAUAUCCUUAAAACAGCAUUCUUCACAAUGCCCAAGAGGUACAAACAGCCCAAAUGUCCAUAGAGAGAGGAAUAGAUUAAAAAAUGUCAUAUAUCCAUGCAGCAGAAUUAUUAUUCAGCCUUAAAAGAAGAAAAUCCUUUUAUGCUUACAACAUGGAUGAGAUUUGAGGACAUAAUGCUGAGUGAAAUAAACCCAGUCACAAAAAGACAUCUGUGUGAGUAUGAAUCCACUCAUGUGGUGUUUAAAAGAGUAAAAAUUACAAUAAUAGGCUGAGGACAUAGAUCAGUAGAUAGAGUGCUUGCCUUGCAUGCACAAGGCCCUGGGUUCAAUCCCCAGCACCACCAAAAAAAAGAAAAAGAAAAAUUACAGGAACAGAAAAUAGGAUAGUAGUUGUCAGGGACUAGAGGGAGGGAGAAAUUAGUUGGUUGAUGGGUAGAGUUUGCUUGUUUGUUUGUUUUGCUACUGGAGAUUGAACCUAGGGGCACUCAACAACUGAGCCACGUUCCCAGCCCUUUUUAUUUUUUAUAUUGAGACAGGAUCUUGCUAAAUUGCUGAGUCUGCUCUCAAACUUGAACUUCUGUCUCAAACUCUCAAGUUGCUGGGAUUACAAGUGUGCACCACCACGCCCAGCCCCAGCCCUUUUUUGAAAAUUUCGAGACAGGGUCUCACUAAAUUGGUUAGGGCCUAAAUUGCUGAGGCCGUCCUCCUGCCUCAUUCUCCCGAGUUUCUGGGAUUACUGGCAUGAGCCACCAUACCCCAACAUGCCCCACCCAGCCAAGAUUUUGAGUUUAGCACGAUGAAAAUAGAGCUCUGUUACAUAAUAAUAUGCAUAUAAUCAAGACUACUGAACUAUCCACUUAGAAAUCAUCAAGAGGGCCAGGCAUGGUGGCACACGCCUGUAAUUCCAGGAGGAAUUCCAGGAGGAAUUGGGAGGCUGAGGAAGAGGAUCUCAAAAUCGAGGCCAGCCUCAGCAAUUUACUGAGGCCCUCAGCAACUUAGUAAGACCUUGUUCUCAAAAUGAAAAAUAAAAAGGAUCAAGGAUGUGCCUCAGUGGUAAAAGACCACUGGGAUCAAUGUCUAACACCAAAAAAAAAAAAAAAAAUCUGGUUUAUUUUAUUUAUAUAUAUAUAUAUAUAUAUAUACAUUUCAUAUAAAUAUAUAGUUAAUAUAAAUAUAUAAAACCAAAGGGUAAAUUUUAUAUGGUAUUUUACUACAAUUAAUUUUUUAAAGACUUAAAGGGGAAAAAAAAAACAAGGGAG